This 73-nucleotide transfer RNA is filed under the name Acropora cervicornis. Its description in RNAcentral is "tRNA-Thr". It matches the Rfam family "tRNA". From Rfam's summary of the family: Transfer RNA (tRNA) molecules are approximately 80 nucleotides in length. Their secondary structure includes four short double-helical elements and three loops (D, anti-codon, and T loops). The record is from RNAcentral. Lineage: Eukaryota; Metazoa; Cnidaria; Anthozoa; Scleractinia; Acroporidae.
GGCUUCACAGCUCAGUUGGUCAAGCAUCGCACCAGUAUCGCGGAGGUCACAGGUUCAAAUCCCGUUGAAGCCC